UAUAUCUAAGUAUAUGAAGUACGGGGGUUUUUGAUACUCCAAGAAUCAGUUUAAAUCUGUUAGUUAUAA
This 69-nucleotide transfer RNA is filed under the name Staphylinoidea sp. 5 KM-2017. RNAcentral describes it as "tRNA-Gln". The record is from RNAcentral. Lineage: Eukaryota; Metazoa; Arthropoda; Insecta; Coleoptera.